RNAcentral lists this ribosomal RNA (463 nucleotides) under uncultured bacterium. Its description in RNAcentral is "bacterial SSU rRNA". It matches the Rfam family "Bacterial small subunit ribosomal RNA", at positions 339 to 794 of the family's 1533-position model. The record is from RNAcentral.
CUACGGGAGGCAGCAGUGGGGAAUUUUGCGCAAUGGGGGCAACCCUGACGCAGCAACGCCGCGUGAGUGAUGAAGGCUUUCGGGUCGUAAAGCUCUGUCAGAAGGGAAGAAAUGGAGUUGGUUAAUACCCAACUUUCUUGACGGUACCUUCAAAGGAAGCACCGGCUAACUCCGUGCCAGCAGCCGCGGUAAUACGGAGGGUGCAAGCGUUGUUCGGAUUUAUUGGGCGUAAAGCGCGUGUAGGCGGUUUCUUAAGUCUGAUGUGAAAGCCCUGGGCUCAACCCAGGAAGUGCAUUGGAUACUGGGAGACUUGAAUACGGGAGAGGGUAGUGGAAUUCCUAGUGUAGGAGUGAAAUCCGUAGAUAUUAGGAGGAACACCGGUGGCGAAGGCGGCUACCUGGACCGAUAUUGACGCUGAGACGCGAAAGCGUGGGGAGCAAACAGGAUUAGAUACCCUGGUAGG